This 2114-nucleotide long non-coding RNA is filed under the name Capsicum annuum. RNAcentral's name for it is "long non-coding RNA (CANN_LNC018388)". The record is from RNAcentral. Lineage: Eukaryota; Viridiplantae; Streptophyta; Magnoliopsida; Solanales; Solanaceae.
CCUGUUCUAGUCUAAUUGGGCUUUCGACCCAUUUCACCUGUCCUAAUCUAAUUUUCGAGCCUUUGGCUCAAAUUUCGCUCCACCUGUAUUAAAUACAACUUUUGGCCUCCAAUAAAUCAAUAAGUAAAUAAAUAGAGACUUUCUAGUCUCUUUUCCGCUUCAAAAAUGGGAUCUUAACCCAUUUUUCUUCUUCCAUCUUCUUGCAUCAAUACAUCUCACGCCAUUUGAUCGACUUCGGACAUAAACUUUGAGGAGGUAGACCUCAUUGGUCCAUUCGUAAAUGCAAUGGGAGGGAGUCCGCCAUGGAUUCCAAAACAGUUGACAUGCAAAAGGAAGAAGGAAAAAGAUUAGGGUCCUAUAGAUAUUCAGAUCACCGGCUUUGUACAAAUCAAACAAGAUAAGACAAACUCUGUUCUAUCUGUGAUUAAUCAAAAGUAAUCUAAGUUAUCACUAUCCAAAUAGCAAGAUGACCAAAACAUAAUAUCAAAUCAAUUUUAUGAAAAACUUUGAUUCAUUAAGUAAAAAGGAGUAUAACCGGUUAGAACUCAAAAGAAAAUAGUUAAAGCCGGACAUUUAAAAGGACGAGCAAGUUUACGAACCUCAAAGCAAGACAAAAUUACUUAAGAACUCUAUUGGAUUUGCGCUCACAGUGCAGUUAUUUUCAAAUUUCAAAGGUUUUAGGGAUCCUAGAUAGGUAGGGCAAUAUUUAUAUGCAAAAUCAACCCAAGGAAAAUAAAAUUUUUAUGCACACGAAAAUCACUAAUGAUAACCUAAUGUCCUUAAAGGAAACAUAUUACUCCCAAUCAUAGCAUGAAAAAUUAAACAAAUUCAUCUAGAAAUAAGGAUUCGGCCUUGAAUGAAAUGCACAUUUCUUUUAUCAUACAAAUUGCACGUAUAUCUCAUGCAUAACAGGGUCAUAGAGGGAUCCUCGGAUGAAAUACCGUUCAUUAUGGACUUACUCAUCGAUAUCACCAAUCAAGAGAAAACUGAGAGAAGUCACAAUAUAUUUAGAGCAAACAAGAUAGUCCAAAUAACCAUCAAGACGGAAAUAAAAGGGAUGGGAGCAGGAUAGCGAAUUCAAAAAUUUGGUGAACGAAAUCUUAACUAGAACAAUCAAAUAGAAGAGAAAGUAACUCAGGGAAACUAUAAUCAAACAAAAUGUUCAGUGAUGAAACUAAAACCAACAUAUAUUUAAUCAAUAUGAAACGGUAAAUCAAAGAACGUUUAAACCCGAGAAGACCAAAGGCAGCAUACAAACUAAAAUGAAACACUUUGAAAUUGAAAGAAACAAUAAUGCUAACAUCAAUCAUGUGUCGAUAAGUUUUGCGAUUAACGGGCAUAACAAUUCUCUCCUAAGCAAAAUGAAAACAAAGCCAUGACUUCUCAAUCAUGCAGCCAAAACAACAAGCCAAAUAGAACCAGAAUAUUUAUUCAACACAAGGGAUUAUAAUCACAGAAAUUCUAAGGCCUUCGAGGCUCCUACAGCUACUCCCACAGCAAACAAUCAAAACUACUACCACAAUCACAACGCAACAAUAUGAGAAAAGUAAAAUCGAAGACUUAACCGAAUGUUGGGCAAUAAAACGGGACCUCGAACUUCGUCGGAAUUCGCCACCACCACCGGAAACAACCUUCAAACCUUCGAUUAAACGAAAAAAAAAAAAUUAACUGUAAAAGAUUCAACUCUUUGCUCGAAAGUAUUUUUUACCCCUUCAAGACUUGGUCCUUUUAGCUCAAUAGUGAGCCUUUUAUAGGAGACUAUCGGGGUUCCUUUUUUGGGCUUCCACCGAUGUGGGAACAACUAUUUUGAGGGUAAUUUCAGAAAUUCGAAUAGGGGGGAUUCAAAUUUUGAAAAGGGGAUUCGAUUGUGAGCUGGAAUUGUACGAGAUUCGUACAAAUUUGCAACGGUUUGGUGUUGAGCUGUCCCGCUUCGGAAGCUUCGACGAAGCUGCAUCGAGCUUCGAUUGUGAGCUGGAAUUGUACGAGAUUUGUACAAAUUUUCUUGAUAUUGUCGUUGCUUUACUGAUAUUAUUGAAGGAGAAGGGGUAAUACGGGCCGGGUCGGUGCUGGAUAAAAUUGAAGGGGUUUAGCUGAUGGGUCAGGUGGAAUUGGGC